ACUCCUACGGGAGGCAGCAGUGAGGAAUAUUGGUCAAUGGGCGCAAGCCUGAACCAGCCAUGCCGCGUGCAGGAAGACUGCCUUAUGGGUUGUAAACUGCUUUUAUAUGGGAAGAAAACCCCUCUACGUGUAGAGCUUGUACGGUACCAUAAGAAUAAGCACCGGCUAACUCCGUGCCAGCAGCCGCGGUAAUACGGAGGGUGCAAGCGUUAUCCGGAAUCAUUGGGUUUAAAGGGUCCGCAGGCGGUCAAUUAAGUCAGAGGUGAAAUCCUAUAGCUUAACUAUAGAACUGCCUUUGAUACUGGUUGACUUGAGUUAUACGGAAGUAGGUAGAAUGUGUAGUGUAGCGGUGAAAUGCAUAGAUAUUACACAGAAUACCGAUUGCGAAGGCAGCCUACUACGUAUAUACUGACGCUCAUGGACGAAAGCGUGGGAGCGAACAGGAUUAGAUACCCUGGUAGGCACUGCU
This 469-nucleotide ribosomal RNA is filed under the name uncultured bacterium. Its description in RNAcentral is "bacterial SSU rRNA". It matches the Rfam family "Bacterial small subunit ribosomal RNA", at positions 335 to 801 of the family's 1533-position model. The record is from RNAcentral.